UACGUAGGGUGCAGGCGUUAAUCGGAAUUACUGGGCGUAAAGCGUGCGCAGGCGGUUCGCUAAGACAGGUGUGAAAUCCCCGGGCUUAACCUGGGAACUGCGCUUGUAACUGGCAAGCUUGAGUGUGGCAGAGGGGGGUGGAAUUCCACGUGUAGCAGUGAAAUGCGUAGAGAUGUGGAGGAACACCGAUGGCGAAGGCAGCCCCCUGGGCUAACACUGACGCUCAUGCACGAAAGCGUGGGGAGCAAACAGGAUUAGAAACCCGUAGUCC
This 271-nucleotide ribosomal RNA is filed under the name uncultured bacterium. RNAcentral describes it as "partial 16S ribosomal RNA". It matches the Rfam family "Bacterial small subunit ribosomal RNA", at positions 524 to 796 of the family's 1533-position model. The record is from RNAcentral.